Molecule: ribosomal RNA, 253 nt
Filed under: uncultured bacterium
Lineage: Bacteria
Description: partial 16S ribosomal RNA
Rfam family: Bacterial small subunit ribosomal RNA
Source: RNAcentral
AACGUAGGUGGCAAGCGUUGUCCGGAAUUACUGGGUGUAAAGGGAGCGCAGGCGGAAUGACAAGUUGGACGUGAAAUCCAUGGGCUCAACCCAUGGCGUGCGUUCAAAACUGUUGUUCUUGAGUGAUGUAGAGGUAGGCGGAAUUCCCGGUGUAGCGGUGGAAUGCGUAGAUAUCGGGAGGAACACCAGUGGCGAAGGCGGCCUACUGGGCAUCAACUGACGCUGAGGCUCGAAAGUAUGGGGAGCAAACAGG